RNAcentral lists this ribosomal RNA (490 nucleotides) under uncultured bacterium. RNAcentral's name for it is "partial 16S ribosomal RNA". It matches the Rfam family "Bacterial small subunit ribosomal RNA", at positions 29 to 507 of the family's 1533-position model. The record is from RNAcentral.
AUUGAACGCUGGCGGCAGGCCUAACACAUGCAAGUCGAACGGUAACAGGAAACAGCUUGCUGUUUCGCUGACGAGUGGCGGACGGGUGAGUAAUGUCUGGGAAACUGCCUGAUGGAGGGGGAUAACUACUGGAAACGGUAGCUAAUACCGCAUAACGUCGCAAGACCAAAGAGGGGGACCUUCGGGCCUCUUGCCAUCGGAUGUUCCCAGAUGGGAUUAGCUAGUAGGUGGGGUAACGGCUCACCUAGGCGACGAUCCCUAGCUGGUCUGAGAGGAUGACUGGCCACACUGGAAAGAAGACACGGGCCAGAAGCCGAAGGGAGGCAGCAGGAGGGAAUAUUGAGCAAUGGGCGAAAGACUGAAGGAGCAAAGCCGCGUGAGAGAUGAAGGACUGCGGAUCGUAAAACCCUGUGAUGAGGGAAGAACAAAAGUAGAAGAAAACAGGCACGCCGUGACGGUACCCAAGCAGAAAGCACCGGCUAACUACGUG